Molecule: ribosomal RNA, 756 nt
Filed under: Psathyrella coloradensis
Lineage: Eukaryota; Fungi; Basidiomycota; Agaricomycetes; Agaricales; Psathyrellaceae
Description: eukaryotic LSU rRNA
Rfam family: Eukaryotic large subunit ribosomal RNA
Source: RNAcentral
AAGCGGAGGAAAAGAAACUAACAAGGAUUCCCCUAGUAACUGCGAGUGAAGCGGGAAAAGCUCAAAUUUAAAAUCUGGUGGUCUUUGGCCAUCCGAGUUGUAAUCUAGAGAAGUGUUACCCGCGUCGGACCGUGUAUAAGUCUCCUGGAAUGGAGCGUCAUAGAGGGUGAGAAUCCCGUCUUUGACACGGACUACCGAGGCUUUGUGGUGCGCUCUCAACGAGUCGAGUUGUUUGGGAAUGCAGCUCAAAAUGGGUGGUAAAUUCCAUCUAAAGCUAAAUAUUGGCGAGAGACCGAUAGCGAACAAGUACCGUGAGGGAAAGAUGAAAAGAACUUUGGAAAGAGAGUUAAACAGUACGUGAAAUUGCUGAAAGGGAAACGCUUGAAGUCAGUCGCGUUGGCCGGAAAUCAGCCUUGCUUUUGCAUGGUGUACUUUCUGGUUGACGGGCCAGCAUCAGUUUUGACCGGUGGAAAAAGUUCAAGGGAAUGUGGCAUCUUCGGAUGUGUUAUAGCCCUUGUUCGUAUACAUCGGUUGGGACUGAGGAACUCAGCACGCCGAAAGGCCGGGUCUUUGACCACGUUCGUGCUUAGGAUGCUGGCAUAAUGGCUUUAAUCGACCCGUCUUGAAACACGGACCAAGGAGUCUAACAUGCCUGCGAGUGUUUGGGUGGAAAACCCGGACGCGCAAUGAAAGUGAAAGUUGAGAUCCCUGUCAUGGGGAGCAUCGACGCCCGGACCAGAAGAUUCUCUGACGGCC